Stomoxys calcitrans (stable fly) is the source of this 124-nucleotide non-coding RNA. NCBI's taxonomy places the organism in Eukaryota, Metazoa, Arthropoda, Insecta, Diptera, Muscidae. The record is from Rfam.
CUCAAUAUGAUGACACUCUGUCCACUGACUUUGGUUAGAUUCAACCUAUUUUUGGAAGAAUCUUAAUGUGCCAAAACUAAAAACAGGAUGUUCGCAGUUUGCGAGGCAUUUGUCUGAUUGAGUG